This is a non-coding RNA of Peromyscus maniculatus bairdii (prairie deer mouse), 924 nucleotides long. NCBI's taxonomy places the organism in Eukaryota, Metazoa, Chordata, Mammalia, Rodentia, Cricetidae. The record is from RefSeq and is a predicted model, not a curated record.
UGAGAGCAAAUAACGAACUCAUUUAUUCAGUAACAGAGAAGGCCUUAUUAACCCUUCACCCAGAGCCCAGUCUAUAUGGUCGUCCCUCAUUGGCUGGGCACAAUCAGGAACUCUGAUAUCAAUCAGGAACUUGGACAGUGACUGUUGCUAGGCCCUCAGGCAGACAGACUCCAGGAUGGCUCUUAGGGAGUAUGUUAUGUGCAUGCCUUGGCAACUGGUCUGAGCUAACUUCCUAGGCCCUAUGGGCCCAUCCUACUACAUACGGUAAUCUUAGAAGUGUUGCAUUAAAUGGGAGUCUGGGAGUGCUGGUGCUGCACGCUUGGAACCUCGACACGCAGAGAUGGAGACAGAAGGAUCAGGGUUCAAGGACAUUUUCAUUCUCAGCUACAGUGAGGCCAAGACUAGCCUGGAUGAUAUGACAUCUUGUCAAGAAGAGACAGCAGGGGUUGGGAAAUAUCAACAUAGAAUCAACAAGAUGUUCCUUGAGCCAUGGAUAUAGGAGUUGUCAUACCGAUGUAUCCACAGGUGCUUGAAUUCCUAUCUCUGAAACAAAUUAAGAUAAAUUCAACGUCAAAAUAAAAAAGCUUGGAUGUGGCGAGAAUCCAUGAGAAUAACCUGCAGUGUUAUCAUUGUCAACGUGUUCUCACUGAGACACCAGAUCCCGGAUGGUUUGCCUGUCUCUCCAGUGGCGGAGAGGUGGCAGACAUUGGGGGGGGGGGUGUGUAUGAAGAGAUGGCAUCAGUUAGGAAGAGCCACGUCUGCCUUAGACGUGCAGGGGAACUCUUCAAGAAAGGACCUCUUUUGUAUAAAUCCUCUGUGUGAAAUCCAUGCCCUUAAUCCACAAAUAUGCUACUUUAAAAAAACAAAUCACAUCCUAGUAUUUGUACCCAGAUAUGGAUAACAUACAAAUCCUCGUAUUUCCUA